RNAcentral lists this ribosomal RNA (254 nucleotides) under uncultured Rhodospirillales bacterium. RNAcentral's name for it is "partial 16S ribosomal RNA". It matches the Rfam family "Bacterial small subunit ribosomal RNA", at positions 524 to 776 of the family's 1533-position model. The record is from RNAcentral. Lineage: Bacteria; Pseudomonadati; Pseudomonadota; Alphaproteobacteria; Rhodospirillales.
UACGAAGGGUGCUAGCGUUGUUCGGAAUCACUGGGCGUAAAGCGCACGUAGGCGGUCCGCACCAGUCAGGCGUGAAAGCCCCAGGCUCAACCUGGGAAUUGCGCUUGAUACUAGCGGGCUAGAGGCCGGGAGAGGGUAGUGGAAUUCCCAGUGUAGAGGUGAAAUUCGUAGAUAUUGGGAAGAACACCAGUGGCGAAGGCGGCUACCUGGACCGGUUCUGACGCUGAGGUGCGAAAGCGUGGGGAGCAAACAGG